RNAcentral lists this ribosomal RNA (3700 nucleotides) under bacterium. RNAcentral describes it as "23S ribosomal RNA". It matches the Rfam family "Bacterial large subunit ribosomal RNA". The record is from RNAcentral.
CAGAGCGUGUAUAAGGGCGUAUGGUGGAUGCCUAGACACAAAAUGGCGAUGAAGGACGCAGCAUAACUGCGAUAAGCUUCGGGGAGGUGUGUAGCAACCUUUGAUCCGGAGAUUUCCGAAUGGGGAAACCCUGCGCGGUAAACCCGCGUAACGCAUGCGAUUAAACGCGCAUGUGAGCAGACCCGCUGAAGUGAAACAUCUCAGUAAGCGGAGGAAUAAAAAUAGAUUAGAUUCCCCAAGUAGCGGCGAGCGAAAAGGGAACAGCCUAAACUUUAGUGUGUGCAGCAAUGUAUACGCUGGAGGGUUGCAAGGGUAAGACAUUUUUGCGUAUCGCAAAGCUCUCGUUAAACAGGGCUGUGCGAUUCGCGGAAGAUUGGUUACAAAUUGCUUCGUUAGCUGAAGCUUCUGGAAAGAAGCGCCAAAGUGAGUGAUAGCCUCGUAAGCGAAAACAAAGCAACCAAUUCGUUUUAUUUCUUAAGUACCUCGAGACCACAACAUCUCGAGGGAAUCCGCCAGUACUAUCUGGUAAGGCUAAAUACAUUUUGUGAUCGAUAGUGAACAAGUACCGUGAGGGAAAGGUGAAAAGCAGCCCGGCGAGGGCGCUGAAAUAGUACCUGAAACCAUAUGUCUACAAGGACUAGAAGUCCAACCACUGAGCAAUCAGUGGCGGACAACUAGGUGCCUAUUGAAGAAUGAGCCAACGACUUUACGUUUACUGCUUGUCUAAGUCGCUUCAUGCGACGGAGGCAUAGGGAAACCGAGUGUUAAUAGCGCGUUCUCUUAUUUAUGACCGAGUAGCUGGUAUGCUUCCAGCGUUCGGUCAUAGAUGAGAAGGCAGUAAGUGUAAGACCCGAAGCCAAGGCGAGCUUGCCCUGACCAGGAUGAACCCGAGCGAAAGCGAGGGGGAGGUCCGAACCAGUUGAUUGUGCAAAAUCUUUGGAUGAGUUGGGGUAAGAAGUGAAAAGCUAAUCGAGCUUGGUAAUAGCUGGUUCUCUCCGAAAUAGUUUUAGGACUAGCGUUCCGCAAAAACCGUAUGGGGGUAGAGCACUGGUUGAUUCGUAUUGGGGGAAACCUCGGCGCAUCAGUCAAACUCCGAAUACCAUACGGGACGCGGGAUAGUCAGACUGUGGGGGCAAAGCUCCAUGGUCGCGAGGGGAAUAGCCCAGACCGUCGUCUAAGGUCCCUAAAUUCUUGCUAAGUGUAAAAGGUAGUCAUGCCCCAGAGACAGAUAGGAGGUUGGCUUAGAGGUAGCCAUCCUUUAAAGAGUGUGUAACAACUCACUAUUCGAUGGGUCGUGGCGCCAAAAAUGUACCGGGGCUAAGCAAGAUACCGACGACACGGGUGUCCAUGACUUCGGUCGUGGACGCGGUAGGAGAGCAUUCUGAUUGCUGUGAAGGUUCAUCCGUGAGGAGGACUGGAGCGUUCAGGAGUGAGAAUGUUGGCAUGAGUAACCAUCAAAUCCGAUGAGAAAUCGGAUCCCCGAAAAUCCAAGGUUUCCGUGGCAAUGGCAAUCAACCACGGGUUAGGCGAUCCUAAGGCAAUGGCGAAAACCGUAGCCGAUGGGUAGCCGGUUAAUAUUCCGGCCCGCGCUUAUUUGUGCGAUGGGGUGACGGAGGAAAAAAGGUUGAGCGUCUCAAUGGUUUGACGUCGCUGAUGAUAAGGAAUGUGUUCUUGGCAAAUCCGGAGCACUGUGUUUAAUCGCGAAUUCCGCGCGUCGGCGUAAGGCCAAGUUUUACUUGGCUAAUUCAACUGAAGAGCCUUCCAAGAAAAACCUCUAAGUUUAGGAUAAGCGCAUCGUACCGUAAACCGACACAGGUGGGUGAGGCGAGACGCCUCAGGGGAACGAGUGAGUCUUGGUCAAGGAACUAGGCAAAAAAGCGGCCGUACCUUCGGUAUAAGGCCUGCCCGUCACGCCGCAAGGUGUGCAUGGGCUGCAACAAAAGUACAUUUGGCGACUGUUUAUCAAAAACACAGCUUCCUGCUAACUCGUAAGAGGAUGUAUAGGAGGUGACACUUGACCGAUGCGAGAAGGUUAACGGUGGGUGUGUAUUCGAAAGCAAUUUUGGAUAUGCUCACUGCCCGAAGCCCUCGUCAAUGUCAGCGGUAACUAUAACCGUUCUAAGGUAGCGCAAUUCCUUUCCGGGUAAGUUCCGGAGCGCAUGAAUAGUGUAACGAUCGAAUGACUGUCUCGACCAAGAGCUCGGUGAAAUUGCGAUUCCCGUGAAGACGCGGGAUACCUGUAACGGGACGAAAAGACCCCGGGAGCUUUACUGUAGUUUGAUAUUGGCUUUAACGUUUUUCUGCGUAGCGUAGUGGCGAGGGUAUGAAACCUGGUUUUCGGAUCAGGUGGACCCGACAAUGAAACAGCCAUCUGGAAAAUGUUAAAAUCUAACCUUUACGGCAAAAACGUAUUGGGACAGUGUCUGAUGGGCAGUUUUAAUGGGGCGUUAUCCUCAACAAAACGAUUGACAUCCGUUCAAUCGAGGGGGUUAACGUAAUAAAAAAUUCAGCUAUAUGCUGGGACAUCCGUGCAUCUUCAAGUACUCGGGCGCUUCGCGCUCAGUGAAAAUCUUGAAGUGGCAUCCGCCAGGUGGCGGAUCGACGGACAAUCAGCAGGCAACCUCCGACGGACAUCGGAGAGAGUCCUCAACGACUAUACGCUGAACAUCGUGAUGUCACUCGCGAUGAAGAUAUAGUCUGACCUCUGUGGCGACACAGAGAGUUGUGGUAGAAAUGCCGCGCCGAUCACCGGCAACUAAAUUUUAGAGUUGCUGGCGAUGUGUAACAAAUGCCUAAAAAGUAACGGAGGAGUUUAUUAAGGUUGGCUUAGCGCGAAUGGAAACCGCGCUGGACGUGUAAACGCAAAAGCCAGCUUGACGGCAAGACCUACAAGUCGCGCCGGUGCGAAAGCAGAAGUUAGUGACCCGAUGAUCCGUCAUAGAAUGGUCAGAGACAUCGGCUAAAAGUUACCCCGGGGAUAACAGGCUAGUCUGGUCCGAGAGUUCCUAUCGACGACCAGGCUCGGCACCUCGAUGUCGGCUCGCCCUAGCGCGGAGGUGGAGAAGCUUCCAAGCGUAUGGCUGUUCGCCAUUUAAAAGGGCACGUGAGCUGGGUUCAAACCGUCAACGAAAAAGAACCUAGAGAAGACAUCAACAAACGGCGGCGCUUUGCCGUAAGGCAAAGCUGAGAAGUUGACUCAUAUCGGUGAAGUCCUACAAAAUCUUUAACCUGGGUUUUGAGGAUAACCCCGAGGGAAGGUCCGAUGAACGUCGGACCCCCGUAGAGACUUGAUCGUAAGGGAUCGGAAUCCGGUUUUAUAAUCGGGUUAAUACGUCAACCCUCCGAUGAAUAUCGGAGUGAUGGUAUAGUCCAAACAAUUAGUAAUAAUUGAGUAUUGCGUGAGACAGGUUAGUCUCUACCUGUUACAGGCGUGUGAUGCUUGAGGGCAGUCGACCCUAGUACGAGAGGACCGGGUUGAACGAACCUCUGGUCUACCAGCUUUAGUACCAACUGAAUCGCUGGGUAGCUAAGUUCGGAAGGGAUAAGCGCUGAAAGCAUAUAAGCGCGAAGCCUAGCCCAAGAUAAGGCAUCUUUCCGCAAGGAAGCAGUCCGUAGAAGAUUACUACGUUGAUAGGUCGCAGGUGUAAGAUCAGUAAUGAUUUCAGCCGAGCGAUACUAAUAGACUGUCACACGCUCUGAA